UCCUCUUUCAGGAUCUCAAGCCUGUCACCCUUUCACAGAUAGAGCUCGACACUGUUGGGCAGCUUAGAUAAGUGAUGUAGGGCGGUGUGGGUAAGCUCCGGGAUGGUGGCUUCGGACGGCCUGAAUUUGAAUCCUGCACCUGUCAUCUACUCACUGAAUGGCUUCAUUUACACCAUCUUCCUUGACUCUUGGGGACAUCACACAGGCUAGUGCAUAGGACUGCCCACUCAGUGACCAAAUAUCCUGAGGAGGUGCUGCCAAGUCUUCCUGUUGUUCCUGGGUGGUUCUACACCACAGAGGCUUUCUGGGAAGCAACGGGCAGCACCAAGCAUCAUGACAAAAGUGUCCUGCCAGACCCAGGUGUUUCCUACAUCCACAACAGCACCAAAGCAGCUACAAGUGUUCAACUCUGACCUCAUAGACUUCCAUCAAGCUGGACCUGCACCUUCCCUCCCAGCCAAGGAUGUUCUUGCAGACCCUGGACAGCAUCAAAGCAGCCAGUUCUUCCUGGACUUGGCCAGCAUUUCAGCCUUUUGACUUCCCUACAGUGCCCCCAGUGUCAGCAGGAAGUAGCCAAAAGAGGGAUCUACGCCCAUUAUUCACUUAUUAUUAAAAAAAGGCUGGAAUGGUGUGGUUCAGGACCAGGACAGGCAGCUCCAGGUUCUCCCAGUGUUCCUCAGACUCUACCUGCUGCCUUGCAUGGCUGGCAACUCUCUACUGACAACCCUCUACCCUAAAUUUGCCAGGGCAGAGGCUUCUCUUUCUCCUCUUGACCAUGUAAUCUGACCAUUUUGUUGCUAUUAUUUCUCUCUCUCUCAACCCCUUGCAUGGCAACCAAGAGCUGCUUCCAAUGAACCUAAAUGUAUAUACUUUAACUUACCUUACAUGAGAAGCAGCCCAGUUCCUCAUUUUUUAAUUAUAGAAAAAGGGAGGAAUAUAAGUAUUUUGGCACCUGCUUCUGGGUUGCCUAGCAACCUAUGACAUCAUCAAGUGUGCCAGCCAGGUGGCCACACCUGGAAGGUGUGGUUACCUUCCUCCUUAAAGGGACCAGCCUGCCAUGUGGUCCCCCCUCUUGGCCUUUCUUGCUCUUGGCCUCUUGCCUCUUGCCCUCUCCCCUUUCUCUGUUGGGGCACCCUCCUCUUUCUUUCCCCCCCCCCCCAUCAUGUCCUGCUCUCCCUUCUCUUUUCUCUUCAUCUCCAUCUAAUAAACCUCUUUCAUAUAAAA
Long non-coding RNA from Meriones unguiculatus (Mongolian gerbil), 1224 nucleotides. RefSeq lists it as uncharacterized. NCBI's taxonomy places the organism in Eukaryota, Metazoa, Chordata, Mammalia, Rodentia, Muridae. The record is from RefSeq and is a predicted model, not a curated record. The transcript is spliced from 2 exons.